UCCCCUGCCUGUUUGCAUGCACAGAGAAUUCCAACUGGUUCCUCACAUGUCAUCAAUAUCUGCCUCAUGUGCCACUUCAAUCAAAGGUCAUACAACCCUCUGCCUCUCUAUCUGGUGGAAGGAGACAGCCCAUGGGUUGGUGCUCCUUUCCACGUCCUCAACUCAGUAAACCUGUGCAUUUUGUACUUUUACUUCUCUAUUGCACCAGAAAAUUCUUUCACAAUGGUGCCGUGACUUGGAUGGCAGAGUGAGUGGCUCCUGGGGCCCCUCCCAGUUGGGGCUCCCCUGCCUAAGAACCACCUGUUUUUUCCUCGGGGGGCUGUUUACUUGCUGCCACUAAUCCACAUGCAACAGGACCUUCCUCACUCAUCACAGGCGUGAUCCAGGACAGCUUCCACGUUCCUUGAGGGAGAGCUACAGUCCUGAGGUAAAGUUGUUCUCUCAGCUCAUUUAUAAUUCGGUUAUGGGGACCACUUCCUGUCCCUCGAAAAACACAUCUUUGAGGUGCUUUGGUGCUCUUGGCCUCAAGAAGGCUGUGAAAACCAAAAAGCUGAUCUUUAAUUUAUGUUUUUGUCACAAUGGUGGCAAGUUGGCAGAACCCUUCAUCUUUAGGCCUUUUCACUUUGAGGACGCGUCCUCCUCUCACUCUGUCUUGUGUGAAGGCCCAAAUCCAUCUGGCUCACUCUACCAUACCAAAAACUCUCCACUCUUCCCCACCAGACCCCUCAGAUGAGGCGGGUCUUGUCUUUACAGCUCCUUCCCUGUAUCUCUAAGACCAAAUCCCACAGCCUUCUCAGCCAGAGGUUUCUGUGCCCCCUGCACUGUCCUCUCCCCAUUUCUCACUCCCAGUGGCCUUUAACUCUUCCCUUAGUUUCCCUCCCCAGUUGCAGAUUUCUCAAUCCCUUCCACUUGAGCAAUCUAUUUCAUUAGACAGCUCUUCUUUGUCCCUUACUCCUGUGUCACCAUUUUCCAUGCUGGCUUACCAUACUUGGUCUUGUGUGUUUCAGUCACCUAGCAGGCCACAUGGUUCUCAGCAGCCAUCUUGCUGCAGCUCCCAUGGAGGACAGCCACCGUCUUGUGGCCCUCUGCCACAUGAGAGUGCACCACCAUCUUGCUGUCCCUCAUCAUGGGACCAGCAGCAGCCCUCUAGCUGUGGGUCUCAUGGUAGUCAGUUGCCGUCUUGUGCUUUCCUGUUACACGGUGGCCAGUCACCCAGUAAUUGCCCACAGAUGCUUGCUGGGCAGUUGGCUGCUCGGUGGCCAUCUACACCUCCCAUUCCACAGCCUUCUCAGCCUCAGUCCCUAUUCUUGCUUCAGGAACAGGCUGGUCCCAGGGACUAGAUCAUAUUCAUGUUCUUUUUUUCCCUUACUCACCUAUCUCAGAGUAACCAUAAAUUAGGUUCCUUUUCUGCUAUUCUUAUUUCAAGAGAUCUCUAUUACUUAACUUACAAAAAUAUUCACACUAGUCUACUUAUCAUAGUUCAAAUUGGUCAAAUAUAUUUGAGUGCACUCUGAUUUUGUAAGAUGUUUAUCAGUCUACAUAUCUGUUGUCUGUUUCUUCAGUCUGUUUAUACUGUACAGAUCAUCUGUCCAUGUUUGUCCAUAUGUCUGUUCUGUAAACAGCUGAUCCUUUUUAUUUGAGCUCAACAAUCUUUUUUUCUCUUCUUUUACAUUUUCAGAUCAUUUAAUCCAAGUUUAUUUGGGUUAUAGAUUUAAAAAACAUGCUUCUACCUAGGUUGCCAGCUGGUCAUAAUGAUGCUAAAACUGGUUAAACAAAAUCUCUUGGAGUGAGGAGACAUUAGACAGGACUCCACCUGAUAAACAAGAAAGUGGCCCCCUGGUAACUUUAACCAGCUCUUAUUCAUUAAUUGGAGGCCCCAAUAAUCUCCGUAGCCUAUGGGAGACACCUCAACUAAAGUUCAUAUGACUAAGACAAUUCAUUGUUGCUGAUCUGUGGUAUAGUCACGCCUUCAAAUAUAAAAUUGGGAUUGUUUAUGAUGACAAGUGUUUUCUUUCAGAUCCAGACGCCUGCCUUUUUCUUGUGCUCCAGCCAGGAAAUCCAAGUCAAACCAACAUGAGGUCAUCAGUCAAAUAAUAAUUUUUAAACAAAAAUUUAUGUAAUGUAUAUGUUAUACUUAGACAUGCUUAAAUAUUGAGCAGUACAAACAAUGUCACAAAUUCUUUCAGUGUUCAAAUGUUAAAACACCCAUGGUUAAUAGAAAAUAGUAGUUCCAUUUAAUGUACUGUGUUAAGCUUACUAAAUUUACUACACUGUACUAUUAUCCAUCUUUUCUUCUGGAUGUUCAACAACUAAAAGUAAGAGAUAAUUAUAAAUUCCUAUUACAUUCCUUUUACUGAGAUCCACCAGAUCUUUUCCAGAAAAAGGUUAUAUGAUGCAUUUUGGGGCCAUAAUUAACUAUACUCAAAUGGCCUUAAAUGACACCACAGCUGAUCUCUCUCCUAAAUAAAAAAAGGUAAAAUUAAUAAAACAGGCCAUCCUCCAAAAUCAAAUGACAGUACACAUUCUAACAGCACAGGAGGUACUUAUAUAACUGUAAAACCGAAAUGUGUGUGUGAAAAAUGAAUGACAUGUCAGUUUCUAAAAUUCCCUGGACCUUAUCCUUAUCCUCCUUAUGGGAAACCAUUACUAAAAUUAUAAAUACCCUCUUGAUUCUAUUAUUUGACUCCUGCAAACUUAAUUGAUUUUUGCCUUUGUCUCCUUUGGACUUAAAGCUGUGCACCUACCCAAGAUGAAAAUGCCUGCUGUCUACUGAGGGCCGCUAGUUAAAAGCUCUGCAGAGUAUCCCUGACUGCCAUUCAACAACUUCAACCUCCUUCAGCCUGAAGAAGUCAGAUCGGUCUCUGCCCAUUAUCCCUCAUGGCAGUUUGGGUUACUUCUUCAGAGGAAAAAUGUUACAGGCAUCUAAGUCAGUUAAAAAUAUGAUAGGCAGUCAGACAGGGCAAGGGCCUCAAAGUAGCCAGCACAAAGGACCAGAUGUCUUGUGACUGUGGAGGAGACAGAUACUUCCUGCUGUGGGCCAGAUCCCAUGACAAAAGGCUUAAAUAUUUUUUUUAUGUUUUCAACAACAGAGAUAAAAAUCCAAAGGAAAAACAACAACCUGAUCUUUUAGCAGUCACAUUUGGAGCUCUGAGACAGGUAAACUGAGACAAGGUAGAACUGCCCAAUCCCUCCUGGACCAUACUCCAAGAGCAACAAAAAGGACACUGGACAAGAGAGUGCCUCCUCUGCAAUAUCAAGGGCCAUUGGAAGAGCAACUGUCCUAGUCUCCAGAGAGCGGGUAAACCAUCCUCUAACUCCUUGCCCUCCUAGGGGAUCUCAUCACCACUGCAUUCAUCACUGGCUGAUCUACUUGGACCUGCUGCUGAAGACUGAUGGGGCUCAGGGUCCAUAGCCCCCAUUAAGGUGUCCUCAGAGCCCCAAGUUUCACUGGAGGUCUCAGGAUGCAAGUGUUCACCAGUUGUCCUGGCUGAAACACCUGGCACCAGCUUCUGCGUGGGCAUCAACCAUCAUCCCGUCAACCUUCCUGAACCCCAAUAUGAUGCCCCCUCUCAGCAGGAAUCAGGGUCCAGAGAAGUGAUGGCAGCCACAGAUGGAGGACUAGGACCAACCAGGAAUCCAGCCUGUUCCUGCCCUGAGAUGUCUCCAAGGCUGGCGAUGAAAGACUGCCCCCCGUGGAGUGCCCUGCAGCUGGCCACAUCCGGGACAAGACAGCCAGGAUGUGGGCUUCCAAACGGAAGCAUCAGACAGAAGCCAGGCAGGAAGAAGCAGAAAGGUGUUGACUCUGACCCCAGCUCCACCAAGCAAUGGAACCUCCAGGAGCGUCUUCUCUUCCGUCUGGGCCUCCUCUGCUGGAAGGUGGGGAUGGGAAAGCUGUGUACCGCAGGGCAGGCAUAAGGACAGGAAAGCUCUAGGACCCAGGGGCUCCAGGUCCACUUCCCAGGACAGGCGUCUUCCAUCCCUUUGUCCUGAAACCUUCAGCCUUGUCCUCAGGCAGGUGACAGCGCUUUGCUUUUCAGGGCGUCUGUGUGUGACAAGCCUCCUGCCUCAUGUCCCCAUCUCUUCCCAGGGACCAGGAAAGUUCCCAGAAUUCCCCCUGCAAACUUCCGCUCACACCCAGCCUCCCAGAGCACCACAGGCUCAGGGCCAGCACCAGUCACUGGCGAGGUGACAGGGUCCACGUGGCUGCCCACCAGUGGGGCCCACUCUGGAACACGGGGGCUCUCUGUGGAGGCAAAAAUGGGGCUCCUGGAACAGAGCACUGUGUGGCCCUGUUAUGAAGAAGAGGACUUAUCCGAGCAUGAUCUGGACACUGAGAAGGAGCCACCUGUACUGUUGUUCCAUGAGGAGACAACACUCCAGACAGAGGCUUGGAGGAAGAGCCCGGUACUCACAGCAUACCGGGAGACCGCCCAGUGACAGAAUGGACGGAGUGAGAGGGAGGUGGCACAAUGAUAACAACUAUAUCUUCAAGAACUUAAAAUAUACAGAGAGAAUCAUAAGAUACUAACUGUCCCAGGUCUCGGAGAGGCACGAAGGAGUUAGUGUUAAGAAUUCUGUGUCAUCUGCGAGGAAGACAGCAGUAGGAGUAGAUACCAACCAGCAAAGAUGACAUUUUAACUUAGACAACAUGCUGUCCAGUGUGGGAGCCGUGAGCCCUAUGGGGGUGUUUACAUUCAAUAUAUUUAACACGGGGCUGGGGAUUUAGCUCAGCGGCAUAAGCACCUGCCUUGCAAGCAGGUGGUCGUGAGUUCGAUCCCCGGUAUCGAUAAAAAUGAAAAAGACAAAAAAAAAAAAAAAAAAUAUAUAUAUAUAUAUAUAUAUAUAUAUAUAUAUUUAAUACUUCAAGCCGGGUAUGGUGGUUCACAGCUGUAAUCCCAGCCCUCGGGAGGCUGAGGCAGAAGGAUUGCUGUGAGUUCAAAGCCAGUCUGGGCUACACAGUUCAGGGAAAGCCUGAACUACGCAGUGAGAACCUAUCUCAAAAAACCAAACCAAAACAAACACAAAUGAACAAACAGACACUUCAGUUCCUCAGUUGCACUGGCCAUAUUUCAAAUGUUCAAUAGCCAUAUGUGGGCUGGGUGUAGUGGUCCACGCUUGUAAUUCCAGUACUUGGGAGACUGAGGCAAGAGGGCUGCGACAAGCUCAAGGCCAGCCUGGCCUACACAGUGAAGCCUUGUCUCAGAAAACCAAACCAACCCAAGCCAACCAACCAACAACAAUAAUGACAAAAACCCCAAACACUCCAAACUGACACACAGAUUAGUUUUUGGUGGGUUUAUACUUUUUUAAAAAAUUUUUUAAAGAUAAUAAUAAUAAAACCCAACAAAAAUAAAACAGAAUAAAGCCAAUCAAAACAAAGCAGCAAAACUGGUGCAGAAUUUCAAAGCAGAGUAGGAGAACAACAAUGGCCACCAUAGUGUAACCCGUUAUGAUGGAACAAUUGUCUGUCAAACGAAACCAAACAGAAUAAAACCAAAACAGAACACUGAAUGAAGCAAAACAACGGAAACAAAACAAAACACUGAGAACAACAUUGGAUUUCAAAAACCAGACAGGAGGGCUGGGGAUUUAGCUCAGUGGCAUAAGCACCUGCCUUGCAAGUGUGCGGUCGUGAGUUCGAUCCCUGGUACCGAUAAAAAUGAAAAAGACAAAGAAAACCAAAAACAAGACAGGAGAAAAUCACAGAGUCUGCUGCACUGCACUGUUGCCGCCUCCCACCCCCAGAGAUGCUCAGACCCCGGCCCCAGAGAGAAGCCAGACACAGAGCACUCAGGUGCUUUUUUACCUCAGUUGCUCUCAACUCAGCCUGUCCCCGACCCAGGUAGAAAAUAAAAAUAUUUCCAGAGUGAUAAAAUCACCCAUAUGUUGUUUACAAGUUAAAUGUCUACACCAAAAGGAUUCAGGAAGUAUGAAAAUAAAAGAACAGGAGAAUAUACACUGUAAACACUAACUAGCAGAAAACCAGAGUAACUGUAGUAACCUCAGACAGCCAGGACACAGACAUUACCACAGAGAUAGAUGGUUCUCUGUGAUAUUAGCAAUGCACAAUUCACCAUGAAAUACAGUAAAUUUGCAAGCAUUCUCUCUCUCUUUUUUUUUUUACCGGUACCAGGGAUCAAACUCACAGCCACAUGCUUGCAAGGCAGGCACUUAUGCCGCUGAGCUAAAUCCCCAGCCCUUGGAAGUAUUCUAUAACGCGACCUUUUCUUGUUCGUUUGUUUGUUUUGGCAAAACGGGGGAUUAAACCAGGGCUGCUGUUAACAUUGAGCUACAUCCUGAUAUUUUUAUUUAUUUUAUUAUAUUUGAUACCAGGAAUUGAAUUUGACCUCAUGCUUACCAAGCAGCUGAGACUUUUAUGUACUUACUUAUUUUUAAAUUUUUUGUCUUUUUUUUUGAGACAGGGUCUCACUAUGCAGUUUAGGCUGGCCUUAAGCUUACUUUGUUGCCCAGGCUGCUCUCAAACUUGCAGUAAUUCUCCUGUCUCAGCCUCCUGAGCGCUGGGAUGACAGUUGACACCCAGCUUCCUUAUUUAUUUUUGAGACAAGGUCUCACUAAAUUGCCCAGGUUGGCCUUUAACUUGUGAUCCUCCUGCUUUAGGCCUCUGCUCUCCAGUAGCUGGAAUUCUAAGUGGAAUUCUAAGGUACCACCUUGCCCAGUGUGGCCUUGUAUUUUGUGAAACAAAAAUGCAUAGAAUUAUAAGAGAAAACUGACAUAUCCACCAUCACCAUGGGGAUGCUUUUAAUUAAACAGCCUUAUUAAGCCAAAAUUUUAUAUACCACAGGAAGAUUUUUAAUCCCUAUCUUUCAAAAUCAAUAGAAAAAUCAAGCCAAAAAAUUAUGAAAGAUACAGGUAAGAUUAGCUAAUGACCUAACUGAUAUACAUGGAUCUCUGAAGUUCAAACUACAGAUACUCUUUUCAAAACAUGGAAGAAUGUUCAUAAGUGAAAUAAAUAAAAAUCAUGUUUAUAAAUAUCACUUUGUGUCUCUAGUGUAAAAAGUAAUAAGAGCUGUAGGAGUAUUAAAACCCAAAAUGUGUUAUUGCUAUUAUAAAAAAAGAGAGGAAAAGAAAGUGCUCUAAAGGAUAUAACUGCAUGUAUGUUUAAGUGUGUAGGAUUGAUAACUAUAUGAUUAAGUUUUUGUUGGAUCGUUGAGCAGAACUGUUUGCAGUCUCACUGUCUGAAUGUCCACUUUGUAUGCUUUACUUUUGUAAAUUGAACAACUAUUUCUAAGAGGACAGUAUGUAAUUUAUCAACUAGUGAUUUCUUAAAGUUUAUUUUUUUUGAAAUUCUGUAUUAUUUCUACCCUUUUUCUGUUUUGCUUUUUUUCUCUUUAAAAUUUAAAAAAAAGAAGGUACUAACAGAAAAAAAAACAUGGAAGAAUGUUGGCAAAAAUACGAGCACAUAGGCUCAAUAAAGCAAACACUAGAAAAAUU
Long non-coding RNA from Cavia porcellus (domestic guinea pig), 7452 nucleotides. RefSeq lists it as uncharacterized. The transcript is spliced from 5 exons. The record is from RefSeq and is a predicted model, not a curated record. Lineage: Eukaryota; Metazoa; Chordata; Mammalia; Rodentia; Caviidae.